CAUUCUCAAAGAACCUUUCUUUGGAAAGGCUUUUUGGACUUUGGAGGUUAUUGCUGGUCCCCCUUUGAUAGCCAGCUCCUCUUAAAUGGAUUAGUAGGGACCACUUUGCAGACCCUAGACGUGAUAAGAUGUUUCUGCGUCUUGGGUAUUUGCUCUGUCGUUUGGAGACCUGCUUCUAACCGUCUUGUUAAAAGACAGCAUUCGAGCCUUUCUCGUAAAGGCUUGACUCAUGAA
RNAcentral lists this unclassified non-coding RNA (234 nucleotides) under uncultured Russula. RNAcentral describes it as "sequence contains ITS2". The record is from RNAcentral. Lineage: Eukaryota; Fungi; Basidiomycota; Agaricomycetes; Russulales; Russulaceae.